This 546-nucleotide ribosomal RNA is filed under the name uncultured beta proteobacterium. Its description in RNAcentral is "bacterial SSU rRNA". It matches the Rfam family "Bacterial small subunit ribosomal RNA", at positions 357 to 896 of the family's 1533-position model. The record is from RNAcentral. Lineage: Bacteria; Pseudomonadati; Pseudomonadota; Betaproteobacteria.
GGGAAUUUUGGACAAUGGACGCAAGCCUGAUCCAGCCAUUCCGCGUGCAGGAUGAAGGCCCUCGGGUUGUAAACUGCUUUUGUACGGAACGAAAAGGUCUCUCUUAAUACGGGGGGCUCAUGACGGUACCGUAAGAAUAAGCACCGGCUAACUACGUGCCAGCAGCCGCGGUAAUACGUAGGGUGCAAGCGUUAAUCGGAAUUACUGGGCGUAAAGCGUGCGCAGGCGGUUAUAUAAGACAGAUGUGAAAUCCCCGGGCUCAACCUGGGAACUGCAUUUGUGACUGUAUAGCUAGAGUACGGUAGAGGGGGAUGGAAUUCCGCGUGUAGCAGUGAAAUGCGUAGAUAUGCGGAGGAACACCGAUGGCGAAGGCAAUCCCCUGGACCUGUACUGACGCUCAUGCACGAAAGCGUGGGGAGCAAACAGGAUUAGAUACCCUGGUAGUCCACGCCCUAAACGAUGUCAACUGGUUGUUGGGUCUUCACUGACUCAGUAACGAAGCUAACGCGUGAAGUUGACCGCCUGGGGAGUACGGCCGCUAGGUUG